RNAcentral lists this ribosomal RNA (467 nucleotides) under uncultured bacterium. RNAcentral describes it as "partial 16S ribosomal RNA". It matches the Rfam family "Bacterial small subunit ribosomal RNA", at positions 28 to 506 of the family's 1533-position model. The record is from RNAcentral.
GACGAACGCUGGCGGCGUGCUUAACACAUGCAAGUCGAACGGAAAGGCCCUGCUUUUGUGGGGUGCUCGAGUGGCGAACGGGUGAGUAACACGUGAGUAACCUGCCCUUGACUUUGGGAUAACUUCAGGAAACUGGGGCUAAUACCGGAUAGGAGCUCCUGCUGCAUGGUGGGGGUUGGAAAGUUUCGGCGGUUGGGGAUGGACUCGCGGCUUAUCAGCUUGUUGGUGGGGUAGUGGCUUACCAAGGCUUUGACGGGUAGCCGGCCUGAGAGGGUGACCGGCCACAUUGGGACGGAGAUACGGCCCAGACUCCUACGGGAGGCAGCAGUGGGGAAUAUUGCACAAUGGGCGGAAGCCUGAUGCAGCAACGCCGCGUGCGGGAGGACGGCCUUCGGGUGGUAAACCGCUUUCGCCUGUGACGAAGCGUGAGUGACGGUAAUGGGUAAAGAAGCACCGGCUAACUACGU